UAAGACUGUUGUUGAGAAGAAUAACACAAUAGUCGAUAUCCAAGGUCAAAGUAAAAAAAAAAUAAGCUAAAGUGAAUAGCUAAAGUGAAAGCUAAAGUAGUGUAAAGUUAUAGCUAAAGUGAAAAAAGAAUAAUUAUGUAAUCUAUGAACUCCGUCAAUAAUGACAUAUCAAAGAGA
Long non-coding RNA from Odontomachus brunneus, 177 nucleotides. RefSeq lists it as uncharacterized. Lineage: Eukaryota; Metazoa; Arthropoda; Insecta; Hymenoptera; Formicidae. The record is from RefSeq and is a predicted model, not a curated record. The transcript has 2 exons.